UCCUAAGUGGCCUCCGUAGGCGCUCGGGAAGAUGGCGGCGGCCGCUGUGGCGGCCCGGGCUGCUGCUGCAGGUCAGUGAGAAGCCGGGCUCCGCACGGGGAGCACCUGCGGGGCGCGCCGGCGUCCGGCGGGGGCGGUGGGGGGAAAGGCCGGGCCGGGCCCCCAGGGUCACUCUGCUUCUCCCAGGCCCGGCGGCUCCGUCCGCUUGUCCUCGCUUCAGGCCUGGUCCUCCACCCCGCCCCGGUUUGGUCUGGCCCCUCCCCCUUCCCCUCCCCCACGUUAUUAUAGGGGGCGUUGGGGAAGCGGGACUUGGGCUCGCCGGAAACUGCCCAGGUUUUUCCCGAAGGAGAACCUGAGGCUGGGGAGACCGGAGCGCCCUCUGUGGGCAGAGUUCAGCCGCCCCGCGGGGUCGGGCUGGGGAAGGCCCCGCCUCCCGUUCUCCCUCGGAGCGAGGAGUGACAGCAGAGAAAGAGCGAUUUAUGGGGGAGGGGCAGGUCCCAUCAGAUCUGCAGCCCGGGAAGAGCCCCCAGGGAGCCGUCCGGCCCGGGGGAGGGGGGGGGUGCCUGGGACUGGGCGGCGGGGAGCAGUGCGGGAAGCGGGGGGGGGGGGCAGAGGAGGGGGUCAGCGCUAGCCUUGGAAGGGAGGUGGGCGGAGGGAGCCCCUCGGGCUUCAGCGGCUUCGGCUGCAGGGACCCGGGACAGCCGGAGGAGGGCGGCUGGCGGCCCACCCGCUGCUCGGGCCCUAGUCCCUGUUCGGCUGGUCCCGGGCCCUGCCCCCCGGCCGGGCACUGCACGGUGCCCCCCCGUGGCCCCCCUCCCGCCUCUCGGGGGCCCUGGAGCCCCCUCUCCGGGUCCGGCUCUGCCACAGAGCCCCGUCCUGACCCUUACAGGAUCCCGGCGCCCCCCGCGCCCCAGUUUCUCCCCAUUCUGUGCGCCCUUCACCCCUUGAUCCUCCGGGACGUUCACGAGCCGGCGCUGGCCUCGCGGCAGUUCUUUGCAGCGCAGAGGCUGCGCCCGGCCGAGGUCAGGAGGACCUGAGCCCCAGUUGGACCUCGGUGGCGUAUUAGCGGUGCGGCCCUGGCAAGCCCCUUGGCCCCAACUGCCGCCCCCGGAGGAGGAAAGCCGCCUUGGAGCGCUUGCUACGGGGAAUGCUGUGAAGCGCCCGAGCUGAAGGACCGCGUGCCGGUGAAACGGGCCUCCGUCCCGGGAACUAGGAAGCGUGGUGACGGCCGGGACUCCUCCGGCCCCUCGGUGCUCUGGCUUCCUCGGCCGUCGGGAAUUGCUCGGCUUCUCUGCGUCUGGUCUCCUGGCUGUCCCGCCGGCCUUUCAGCCGGAUGCAAGCGCCGCUCGUUGCUCCUGCUGCCGAACAACUUUCACCUGUUAGAAGUCUGGCAUGUGGGCACCCUCCAGCCAUCCUUAAUAGUGUCACCCCUCUGCUACCCACUCUCCUCCGCCCGCCGGCCCGCACUCUGACGUACUGCAGUGUGAGAAAAGGGAAGCGGAAGUCCGUGAAAGCCGUGCUCUUCAGGUUUCUCCGGCUGCACAGCGGCCUUUGGCUGAGGAGGAAGGCCGGUUAUAAGAAGAAGCUCUGGAAGAAGAAGCCGGCUCGGAAGAAGCGGCUCCGGGAGCUAGUGUUCUGCAACAAGACGCAGAGCAAGCUGCUCGACAAGAUGACUACGUCUUUCUGGAAGAGGCGCAACUGGUACAUGGACGACCCCUACCAGAAGUACCACAACCGCACCAACCUCAGAGUGUAGGCCCCAGGGUGCCGGCCUCUGGCGCGGGCCUGCAAUGGCCCCAGGACAAGGUGCCGAAUAAAUCAGACAAAUGGCUCCUUGUGCAUUCUACGUUCUUUCCUUCAGCAGCCAUUUGUCAAGAGUCUACUUGGCAUCGGAACAGAAGUGAGUGCAAGGGAUAAUGUUGUAAAAAAUUACCCUGGCAUGGGUUCUGUCAAUAAAAAGUUAUUUAAAAAUAAAUAAAUAAAUAAAGAGUCUUCUUAGCACUAGGCA
This 2008-nucleotide long non-coding RNA is filed under the name Sarcophilus harrisii (Tasmanian devil). RNAcentral describes it as "lncRNA (ENSSHAG00000031011.1)". The record is from RNAcentral. Lineage: Eukaryota; Metazoa; Chordata; Mammalia; Dasyuromorphia; Dasyuridae.